GAUGAACGCUGGCGGCGUGCCUAAUACAUGCAAGUCGAGCGAACGGACGAGAAGCUUGCUUCUCUGAUGUUAGCGGCGGACGGGUGAGUAACACGUGGAUAACCUACCUAUAAGACUGGGAUAACUUCGGGAAACCGGAGCUAAUACCGGAUAAUAUUUUGAACCGCAUGGUUCAAAAGUGAAAGACGGUCUUGCUGUCACUUAUAGAUGGAUCCGCGCUGCAUUAGCUAGUUGGUAAGGUAACGGCUUACCAAGGCAACGAUGCAUAGCCGACCUGAGAGGGUGAUCGGCCACACUGGAACUGAGACACGGUCCAGACUCCUACGGGAGGCAGCAGUAGGGAAUCUUCCGCAAUGGGCGAAAGCCUGACGGAGCAACGCCGCGUGAGUGAUGAAGGUCUUCGGAUCGUAAAACUCUGUUAUUAGGGAAGAACAUAUGUGUAAGUAACUGUGCACAUCUUGACGGUACCUAAUCAGAAAGCCACAGCUAACUACGUGCCAGCAGCCGCGGUAAUACGUAGGUGGCAAGCGUUAUCCGGAAUUAUUGGGCGUAAAGCGCGCGUAGGCGGUUUUUUAGUCUGAUGUGAAAGCCCACGGCUCAACCGUGGAGGGUCAUUGGAAACUGGAAAACUUGAGUGCAGAAGAGGAAAGUGGAAUUCCAUGUGUAGCGGUGAAAUGCGCAGAGAUAUGGAGGAACACCAGUGGCGAAGGCGACUUUCUGGUCUGUAACUGACGCUGAUGUGCGAAAGCGUGGGGAUCAAACAGGAUUAGAUACCCUGGUAGUCCACGCCGUAAACGAUGAGUGCUAAGUGUUAGGGGGUUUCCGCCCCUUAGUGCUGCAGCUAACGCAUUAAGCACUCCGCCUGGGGAGUACGACCGCAAGGUUGAAACUCAAAGGAAUUGACGGGGACCCGCACAAGCGGUGGAGCAUGUGGUUUAAUUCGAAGCAACGCGAAGAACCUUACCAAAUCUUGACAUCCUUUGACAACUCUAGAGAUAGAGCCUUCCCCUUCGGGGGACAAAGUGACAGGUGGUGCAUGGUUGUCGUCAGCUCGUGUCGUGAGAUGUUGGGUUAAGUCCCGCAACGAGCGCAACCCUUAAGCUUAGUUGCCAUCAUUAAGUUGGGCACUCUAAGUUGACUGCCGGUGACAAACCGGAGGAAGGUGGGGAUGACGUCAAAUCAUCAUGCCCCUUAUGAUUUGGGCUACACACGUGCUACAAUGGACAAUACAAAGGGCAGCGAAACCGCGAGGUCAAGCAAAUCCCAUAAAGUUGUUCUCAGUUCGGAUUGUAGUCUGCAACUCGACUACAUGAAGCUGGAAUCGCUAGUAAUCGUAGAUCAGCAUGCUACGGUGAAUACGUUCCCGGGUCU
Molecule: ribosomal RNA, 1371 nt
Filed under: uncultured bacterium
Lineage: Bacteria
Description: bacterial SSU rRNA
Rfam family: Bacterial small subunit ribosomal RNA
Source: RNAcentral